CUUGAUACACUAAUCUCGAUAUACAAGUGGUAAACUCACCCUUGAAAAUUUUCCUCAUUUCGGCUAUUCACACCAGUCAGUUGUUUCACCAACCCAACAUAGAACUCAAACCAUAUACUGAGAAUUGCAGACUUUAUCUAUGUAUUCACACCGGUCAAUUUCACCAAACCUAGACAGAACCCAAACCAUACACAAAACCAAAAAUCUAUAAUUAAAUUACAUUUGCAAACAAAUGUGGAUAAAGAAUGGACAAAAAAUAUAUGCACAGCAGUCACAACCAAACCAAUUCCAGGCCCAGAGAGGACAACGAAUAACAUUCGUCAAUCUGUGUCAGGUACCAAUGCAUUUGGCUUUGAGACAUAGCUUGGUAAAUUGGCAGCACUGCUUUUAGAAUUGCUGGAUUUGGGGGAUGAUGACUCACAUGAGCUGAGGAUUGGAGAUUCAGGCCUUGAGGGGACAGGAGAUAGUUCUUCACGGUCUAAAUAUGCUUCAACUACCGGAAACAUAUCUUCCGAGUAAGUGUGAUUGCUAUCUUCUCCUGGUAUACUGUCUUCCAUGUCAUCAUCCAAGGGGGCAACAUCGUGGGUGGUGAAUUGAUGAAAAUCUACUAUCUCACGCAAGAAACGAUUUUCGCGUGCGUACAUGGAAUUUUCCUGCGCCAGUCUUGAUUUCUCGGCCAAUAAGGUCUCCAGUUGCACACGAAUCUGUCAUCAUCCUCUUCAGUUUUGCUCCCUUUCUGCUUUGCUUCUCGCAAGAACUUGUUCUCCUCUUCUAGCUGAGCACAUCGCUGCUUCGCAAAAGCUAGAUCAGCUUUUACUGUUUUUAGUUCACGGAGCACAAGUUUUGCUUUAGCAGCCAUUGCAUUAGCAACCUUACAUCGCGAGAAGCUUUUAAUUGGGUUUCCUGGGCUGCAGUUUCAGCUUGAUCAUGUGAAAGAUUAGGAGGUCUUAAUGUAUCAAAUGCUGGGUUCGGCAUAUAAGAAUUCGAAUUGGCUUGCUUCCUUCUAAUUUGUAUCUUCUUUGUCUCCUCAAUGAUAUUGGAUGUCUUAUUGUCCACAAUUGUGAGACAUUACUUCCAACGCAUCUCUGAUUCUUCCACCAAGUUGGUUGACAGAAGCAGCAAGAGCUUCCGACCUUGUCCGGGAUCCAGUAUCUCCUGUCCUGCUGUGGUUUUCAAAUGACCAGCGAGAUCGAGUCACCUGAGCUCCAGUGGAUGAAUCAAACUUGCGAGGGGUCUUUUGUUUUGUGUACUCGUCAGACUUAUGUGCUGUGCCAUCCUCAUCAAGAAUUCCCUUGGCUUUUCUUGCCAAAGUUUCCCAUAGCCCAAGCUUGGGCUCGUUCAUACUUUUGAUUGAUGUGUAACUGGGCGCAUGCCUGCGGCGGCUGGGGGUAGGAGCUCCGGCGAUCAUCGGCGGCGAUGGGGCCCUGCUUCCGGCGGUAGGCCAUGGUGGCGGCGCGGCGGCGGGUCGUGGCCCGGACCCGGAG
This 1484-nucleotide small RNA is filed under the name Oryza sativa Japonica Group (Japanese rice). Its description in RNAcentral is "sRNA Os12g0118000". The record is from RNAcentral. Lineage: Eukaryota; Viridiplantae; Streptophyta; Magnoliopsida; Poales; Poaceae.